Molecule: ribosomal RNA, 1066 nt
Filed under: Pseudomonas sp. RZS1
Lineage: Bacteria; Pseudomonadati; Pseudomonadota; Gammaproteobacteria; Pseudomonadales; Pseudomonadaceae
Description: bacterial SSU rRNA
Rfam family: Bacterial small subunit ribosomal RNA
Source: RNAcentral
GAAAGCAGGGGACCUUCGGGCCUUGCGCUAUCAUAUGAGCCUAGGUCGGAUUAGCUAGUUGGUGAGGUAAUGGCUCACCAAGGCGACGAUCCGUAACUGGUCUGAGAGGAUGAUCAGUCACACUGGAACUGAGACACGGUCCAGACUCCUACGGGAGGCAGCAGUGGGGAAUAUUGGACAAUGGGCGAAAGCCUGAUCCAGCCAUGCCGCGUGUGUGAAGAAGGUCUUCGGAUUGUAAAGCACUUUAAGUUGGGAGGAAGGGCAGUAAGCGAAUACCUUGCUGUUUUGACGUUACCGACAGAAUAAGCACCGGCUAACUCUGUGCCAGCAGCCGCGGUAAUACAGAGGGUGCAAGCGUUAAUCGGAAUUACUGGGCGUAAAGCGCGCCGUAGGUGGUUUGUUAAGUUGAAUGUGAAAUCCCCGGGCUCAACCUGGGAACUGCAUCCUUUUCUGGCAAGCUAGAGUAGGGCAGAGGGUGGUGGAAUUUCCUGUGUAGGCGGUGAAAUGCGGUAGAUAUAGGAAGGAACACCCGUGGCGAAGGCGACCCACCUGGGCUCAUACUGACACUGAGGUGCGAAAGCGUGGGGGGCAAACAGGAUUAGAUACCCUGGUAGUCCACGCCGUAAACGAUGUCAACUAGCCGUUGGAAGCCUUGAGCUUUUAGUGGCGCAGCUAACGCAUUAAGUUGACCGCCUGGGGAGUACGGCCGCAAGGUUUAAAACUCAAAUGAAUUGACGGGGGCCCGCACAAGCGGUGGAGCAUGUGGUUUAAUUCCAAGCAACGCUAAAGAAUACCAGGCCUUGACAUCCAAUGAAAACCUUUCCAGAGAUGGAUUGGUGCCUUUGGGAACAUUGAGACAGGUGCUGCAUGGCUGUCGUCAGCUCGUGUCGUGAGAUGUUGGGUUAAGUCCCGUAACGAGCGCAACCCUUGUCCUUAGUUACCAGCACGUUAAGGUGGGCACUCUAAGGAGACUGCCGGUGACAAACCGGAGGAAGGUGGGGAUGACGUCAAGUCAUCAUGGCCUUUACGGCCUGGGCUACACACGUGCUACAAUGGUCGGUACAGA